Molecule: ribosomal RNA, 253 nt
Filed under: uncultured bacterium
Lineage: Bacteria
Description: partial 16S ribosomal RNA
Rfam family: Bacterial small subunit ribosomal RNA
Source: RNAcentral
UACGAAGGGGGCUAGCGUUGCUCGGAAUCACUGGGCGUAAAGCGCACGUAGGCGGCUUCUUAAGUCAGGGGCGAAAUCCUGGAGCUCAACUCCAGAACUGCCUUUGAUACUGAGGAGCUUGAGUCCGGGAGAGGUGAGUGGAACUGCGAGUGUAGAGGUGAAAUUCGUAGAUAUUCGCAAGAACACCAGUGGCGAAGGCGGCUCACUGGCCCGGUACUGACGCUGAGGUGCGAAAGCGUGGGGAGCAAACAGG